RNAcentral lists this ribosomal RNA (1167 nucleotides) under uncultured organism. RNAcentral describes it as "bacterial SSU rRNA". It matches the Rfam family "Bacterial small subunit ribosomal RNA", at positions 239 to 1436 of the family's 1533-position model. The record is from RNAcentral.
CAUCAGCUAGUUGGUAGGGUAAAGGCCUACCAAGGCGAAGACGGGUAGGGGGUGUGAGAGCACGGCCCCCCACAAUGGGACUGAAACACGGCCCAUACUCCUACGGGAGGCAGCAGCAGGGAAUAUUGCACAAUAGGCGAAAGCCUGAUGCAGCGACGCCGCGUGAGUGAAGAAGGCCUUCGGGUCGUAAAGCUCUUUUGUAGGGGAAGAGGAAGGACGGUACCCUAAGAAGAAGCGUCGGCUAACUACGUGCCAGCAGCCGCGGUAAGACGUAGGACGCGAGCGUUAUCCGGAAUUACUGGGCGUAAAGGGCCAGCAGGCGGCUUGGUAAGUUGUGCGUGAAAGCCUCGUGCUCAACGCGAGGAAGCCGGACAAUACUGUCAAGCUAGAGGGCAUCAGAGGGGAGUGGAAUUCCCGGAGUAGCGGUAAAAUGCGCAGAUAUCGGGAGGAACACCGAUGGCGAAGGCAGCUCCCUGGGAUGCACCUGACGCUAAGAGGCGAAAGCUAGGGGAGCGAACAGGAUUAGAGACCCUGGUAGUCCUAGCUGUAAACGCUGGGUGCUAGGUGUGGGACGUAGAAGUUCCGUGCCGGAGCAAACGCGAUAAGCACCCCGCCUGGGAAUUACGGUCGCAAGGCUUAAACUCAAACGAAUUGACGGGGGCCCCGCACAAGCAGCGGAGCGUGUGGUUCAAUUCGAUGCUACACGAAGAACCUUACCUGGGUUUGACAUGUACGUGGUACGAAGGCGAAAGCCUAAGGACCCUUCGGGGAGCGUACACAGGUGCUGCAUGGCUGUCGUCAGCUCGUGCCGUGAGGUGUCGGGUUAAGUCCCGUAACGAGCGCAACCCUUGCCCUUAGUUACAAGUGUCUAAGGGGACUGCCGGCGGGAAGCCGGAGGAAGGUGGGGAUGACGUCAAGUCAGCAUGGCCCUUAUGUCCAGGGCUACACACACGCUACAAUGGUCAGUACAAAGGGUAGCGAAGUCGCGAGGCGGAGCGAAUCUCAACAAAGCUGAUCGUAGUUCGGAUUGCAGGCUGCAACCCGCCUGCAUGAAGCUGGAGUUGCUAGUAACCGCGCGUCAGCCAUAGUGCGGUGAAUACGUACCCGGGGCUUGUACACACCGCCCGUCACGUCAUGGGAGUCGGUAACGCCUGAAGCCGGUAGUCU